RNAcentral lists this non-coding RNA (107 nucleotides) under unclassified sequences. RNAcentral's name for it is "c-di-GMP sequence". It matches the Rfam family "c-di-GMP-II-GAG riboswitch aptamer". The record is from Rfam by way of RNAcentral.
GCUCCUACGGAACGUGAUGAUCCGGAUGGUCCGCCUCUCCCGCAGAGGCGAACUCGGCCGCCUAAUGGCCAUCCGGGGAGCGAGUGGCGAGACCGGUCCGUUCUGAC